CUGUGAAAUAAGUGAAGCAUACCGAGGGGAUACAUUCAUAGGCUAUGUUUGUAAAUGUCCCCGAGGAUUUAAUGGGAUUCACUGUCAGCACAACAUAAAUGAAUGCGAAGUUGAGCCUUGCAAAAAUGGUGGAAUAUGUACAGAUCUUGUUGCUAACUAUUCCUGUGAGUGCCCAGGCGAAUUUAUGGGAAGAAAUUGUCAAUACAGUAAGUAUUCACGUGUGUGUAUGUGUGUGUGUGUGUGUGUGUGUGUGUGUGUGUGUAUGUAUACACACACACAUAUAUGUAUGCAUAUAUAUUUUUAUGUACAUCAUCUAAAUUUAUUUUGAAAUCUGGGCCAAAAUCAAUAUUAUUUGCCUUCAGAGUGCAUAAUCCAUUGAAAUGGCACUUUUCAUAUUUGUGGUAUGUUAUUAAUGCACACAUAUUCUCUAGGGUGUCUCAUUUAGUGCACAAUAUGCAUAGAAAUGGUAUCUUGUGACCUGAAAAGAAUGAUAACAUUUCCUCAGAUACUCAAGUUCCACGAAUCCCAUUUUGGUUUAUGAUUAUGCAUAUGACUGAAAUUUCUACCACCAAAGUGACACUUUGGUUCUGAGAGUAAAUUCAGGGCAUUGAAACCAGAUAGACAGGGCACACUGGCUCAUGCCUGUAAUCCCAGCACUUUUAGAGGCCUCAGCAAGAGGAGCCCAGGAGCUCAAGACCAUCCUGGGCAACACAGUGAGAACCCAUCUCUAAAAGAAACGAAAUAAAAAUAAAAUAAAUCAGUUAGCCUCUGUUAUAAAUAAAACGUAAAAAUAAAGGAGGAUGCAUUUGGGCCGUCCCACACGCUAGCAAGAAUGUUGCACACUAUUUAUUUGUCUUAUUGGAAGCUGAAGAAAGUAGGGUCUUGAAAUGAUGCAUCAAAUGACAGGGCAGUUAUUUGCCUUAAGUGUUUACAAAGAGGCAGAAAGCACCACUUAC
RNAcentral lists this long non-coding RNA (956 nucleotides) under Homo sapiens (human). RNAcentral describes it as "long non-coding RNA NONHSAT204398.1". Lineage: Eukaryota; Metazoa; Chordata; Mammalia; Primates; Hominidae. The record is from RNAcentral.